GUAAAACAUCAAUACUAUUUGUACCACGAACAAUAAGUAUGUUAUCUCAUCAAUUUGUAUGAUUAAGAGUAAAACGAUUCAAAGAAACAAUUAUAGACAGAAAUAAUGAUUGAUACAAUAAACCUAAUGUAGUUCUACGACUACCUGGAGGACAGUUUCGUGUAGGUGCUUUAAUUAUUACAAAAGGUGCAAUAUCGAUUGAUAUGCAUUCCAGUUGAAAAUUAGUUUCAUUGACACCUAUUACACUGGGUGCGCAAGGACCACCAAUUGUAUUAAGAGCAUAACAUGUAUUAUUGUAUUUAACCAAACCAUCUUCUAAACAUGGAUUUUUAACACAUUGUGGGAUUGCUUCUCCUUCAGGAAGAACUAAAUAAUGUUGUGGAGAACAAGGUCCUUGUCUAUAGGCUUCAUAACACGAAUCAUUUAAAGGAAGGUAUAAAAAUCUUGGUCUACAAUCGCACACCCAAGCAACAUUAUUUCCAUCACUUGGAUAAACAAGCAUAUUGGUUGGACAAUGAUCUGGUAUUGACACAGGAAUACGCUCUGUUAUCUUAACACAAAAAUGAUAUAUAUUUUUCAUCUUACAAUAUAACAAAUUUCUUAUACAUAAAAUGUACUUUUUAUAACACAUACCAUCGGUUUAUUUCCACUCACAUGAGAUAAUUCCUCAUCAUUUGGAAAUACAAUAUCUUGACAUAAAAUGAAGCAACUACAUAUUAGGAAUGCACUGUUAAAUAAUAUCCACUUCAUCUUAAAUAUACAACUUUAUUAUUUUA
Long non-coding RNA from Vespa velutina, 776 nucleotides. RefSeq lists it as uncharacterized. The record is from RefSeq and is a predicted model, not a curated record. Lineage: Eukaryota; Metazoa; Arthropoda; Insecta; Hymenoptera; Vespidae. The transcript has 2 exons.